CACGUAGUUAGCCGGGGCCUCUUAGUCAGGUACUGUCAUUUUUUCUUCCCUGCCGAUAGAGCUUUACAUACCGAAAUACUUCUUCACUCACGCGGCGUCGCUGCAUCAGGGUUUCCCCCAUUGUGCAAUAUCCCCCACUGCUGCCUCCCGUAGGAGUUUGGGCCGUGUCUCAGUCCCAAUGUGGCCGGUCACUCUCUCAAGCCGGCUACUGAUCGUCGCUUUGGUAGGCCAUUACCCUGCCAACUGGCUAAUCAGACGCGGGCCCAUCCUGUACCUAUAAAUAUUUGAUGGAAAUAUCAUGCGUAUCUCCAUGUUAUGCGGUUUAGUCAGCCGUUUCCUAACCUGUUAUUCCCCUCGUACAGGCGACGUUACCCACGCGUUACUCACCCGUCCCGCCACUAAGUCUUAUACCUUCCAUCCGAAACCUUACCGCACUAACGAACCCCGUUCCGUACUUGCAUGUGUUAGGCACGCCGCCCAGCGUUCAUCCUGAGCCACGGAUCAAACUCU
This 510-nucleotide ribosomal RNA is filed under the name uncultured Lachnospiraceae bacterium. Its description in RNAcentral is "partial 16S ribosomal RNA". The record is from RNAcentral. Lineage: Bacteria; Bacillati; Bacillota; Clostridia; Lachnospirales; Lachnospiraceae.